Benincasa hispida (wax gourd) is the source of this 2622-nucleotide RNA transcript. It is a transcript of the gene named WPP domain-interacting tail-anchored protein 2-like, with no coding region annotated. The record is from RefSeq and is a predicted model, not a curated record. Lineage: Eukaryota; Viridiplantae; Streptophyta; Magnoliopsida; Cucurbitales; Cucurbitaceae.
UAACUCAGCCUUUGGCUUUGGCUUCACGUGUUCAUCUUUAUGGCUCUCAAUCAUUCGCUUCUCUACAGUAAAUCAAGCUAUCCUACGCCCCUCAAGGCUGCAAUCAACACCCGAUCCUUGAUCAGUUCCUUUAAGCCUGGUUGAAUCCGGAUGUAUAAUACUCUCCCGGCUCACGUUAGCGAUUUUGACUCGCCAAUGGUUGAUUCUGACGGCUGAAAUGGAAGCCGGUGGUCGUUGAGCUCUGCUGAAGUCUUCGUUCCUUUUGACAAACACGACGCAUCCGGAUUUCUCUUUUUCUUCAAGGUUUUAAUAAGAUUGAGCUAUGGGGAUGAUGGAUGAGAAUGCUUGCAAUCAUGAAUCUCAAAGACUUGAAAUGCAAGAAAUGGAGAAUACUAUGAAAACUUUGACCAAAUUAGAAUUGGACUUGGCGUAUUCAUCGGAGAAGUUGAUGAAUCUUCAUGUGCUUUUGAUGUGCCUAUUGACUCAGGAGAAUGAUUUUGAGGCUAUGGAUUUGGAGAAUGAGUAUAUCCCAGAUGAUUCGUUUGGGAAGGUGUUGGCAUUUGAUUUUUUGUCUGGCUUUUUGGAUUCUGAGGUAAGAGAGCUGGAUAGUUUCAUGGAUAAACUCGAAGCAGAAAUAGUUGAUGCCCGUGGAAUGGUAUCUUCUUGCAGACAAUCUAGUGAGGUUUUCAGUGUGGUAGAAGAAAAACUGCUUGAUUCCGAAAAGUCGCUUGUUCAAUCCCAACAGCAGAUUCUAGAAGUGAAGAUGCAGUCAGCCAAAUUGCAGAGAAUUGUUUUAAGCAGUGGAAAUUGGAGAUUGGAGGAUCCUGUGAUGUCGUCACAAAAUGAUCAAGUUCUUCUCAACAUAAAUGGGAAAUCAAAUACAAUGACUGAACAACAGAGGCAUAUUUUAAGGAUGCUAGAAAAAUCACUUGCAAGGGAGCUAGAUCUUGAGAAGAAGUUGUCUGAAUCAAAGCAACGGGAAGAAGAGCUCAGAAUGAAGCUACACUAUACCGAACAAGUUGCUUUGAGAAUGGAAGAGGCUGCAGAAGUUGUUUGGGGAAGGUUUUUAGAGGCAGACAAUAGUGUUGAGAUUCUUAUGGGGAUUUCAAAGGAAUUAGUCGGCCGCCUCCAGCUCGUCCAAUUCAAUCUACAUGGUUCGUUUCAACGUGAAAACGAGGUCAAAACUAAAUGUCAAGAUUGGACGGAGCAGCUUAAAGCAAAAGAAGUGGCUAUACAGAAGCUUGAGAAAAGGAAUGCUGAACUACUAAUUGCCAAGAAUGCUGAACUGGAUAAAUUGAGGGAAGAAGUGAAGUCUCUUGAGGAACAACUUAAAGAAUCUAGGCUUGAUCUGAAAAGUGCAUAUGACUCAAAUGAAGCAAGUCAAGAUCAGCUUAUUGAGAUGGAAAAUCUUGUUGAGUCACUGAAAGAAAGCAUCUGCAUAUCAGAAAAUAGAGCAGAGAGUGUUGAAGCCAAGCUUACACAGCUGCAAGAGACAAACUUGGAACUUACUGAAGAGGUGAGUUUUCUUAAAGAUAGUGCAAGCAACAAAGAGAAAAAGGUCGGUUCACUUGAAAAACAGUUGAGGCAACUAGAGAUUCAAUUGCAGCAUGCAAAAUCAUCAUCAGAAGCAAGUCAGGAGCAACAAAACAUGUUAUAUUCUGCAAUAUGGGACAUGGAAACUCUCAUUGAGGAUCUUAAAUCCAAAGUUUCUAAAGCUGAAAGUAAGACUGAUAGUGCAGAGGAGCAUUGCAUUAUCUUGUCAGAAACCAACUUCGAACUCAAUAAAGAACUUACUUCCCUCAAGGCUCGAGUGGAGUUCUUAGAGAAAGCAUUGGAUCAAGCCAACGGUGAAAAAUAUACGAAUGCAAACAAAGUUAACUUGAGUUCCAAGUUUAUCAUGGACAUGGUGCUCCAACUAGCUGUUGAGAGGGAUCGAAUUCAGAGCCAGCUAUCCAUUUUGACAAAUGAUAACAAAGCUUUGAUUGAGAAAUUGAGAACUGUAAGAGAUGGUGCGUCUAUAAUCACACGUGACAGAGGAGACUACGACAAGAAGGAACGGUCAGCCCCAGAGAAUGAUGUAAAUAUACCUCAAUGAUUCGGAGGAAGCUUUUAUCGAGUCUUUACAGCAAAGAGUUCAAGAGGCAGAUAACUAAAGCACCUGAAAGCACACCCAAGUGUUGGGCUGAAGGUACUUCUUCUGUAUCCAUAAGUUAAAAUGCUGAGAAUGUCUCAAAACCUAAAGUUGUGAGGGUGACCGUACAGAGAUUUUGUUCGUAUUAUUCUUAUUAUUUUCUGUCUUAUUUAUUAUCAUUGUAUUCUUUUACUCAGAGUCUUCACCAUUCUAUGGUUCUUUGUGGUUAAAAUUUUCAUGGUCUUUGGAUCCAAAAGAGAAAAAUGUUAGGGGAGAGUCCAAAGGUAGCACAUUGCCCCCAUGUAUUCCAUUGUUGUUGUCAAAUAGAUUUGUCUUAGGAGGUUGUGCUGGUGUCUUUCCACUUAUAGUGAAAUUGUGUUAGAUUAUCUUCAUUGUUCAAAUGUGAAUAUAAAAUUAUUGUAUUUGGAUAUAUAUAUGUAUAUUUGGAUUCUUCUUGGUUCUUUGUUGUAAUUUGAGUUUUAAUUGGUCUC